GCAGCAGAGGAAGAUGUUUUUGUAACCAAGCUCUCCCUUGGGGCUACUCACGUAAAAGUGUUUCCUUCAGUUCUGCAAAACGGCGUCUAUCUUUUUUGGACUGACGUUUCUGCUGAUUUCAAGAGCAGAACAGUGUCCGCACUGAAAUAACAGACUCCUUGGACAAGAUUGUUCGUUGCUGCAUGUUGACUCUGCAGCGUUGAAACCCAGGACACAUGAAAUCUGAAUCCAGCAGGUCUAGGAAUUGAGAAGGCUUUCAAAGAUGCAUGCCUCUCCUUUUUGCAAGGGGAGAAACUGUCAUCCUCUCCGAAAACAUCAAAUGAGAGAAGAGUGCCUAAGUUCCACUGAUGUGCUUCGUGGACCUAUUUCUAAUUUGCAGUGGGCGCACAGACUGUGAAAGGGACUUUCCAAAGAAAUUUGUACAGUGGAAUUUUGGUCCUGAAGCAAAGCCGCAGGCAGAGGCAAAAGGUCUGUCUCCCGUGCGACCCCGCUCGCUCCUCCGCCGGUCCUCCUCCACAGUCAUUCUGUGGGAAGCAGAUGGGAUAAGGGUGAGAUGGUUUAAUCAGACACUCAAAUAAUUGGUCUACACUACCAGUCCAAAUGUUUUAAAAAAUCUCAAUUAGUUACAUCCAAAAAAAAAAAUCACUUUUUAAAUUACGACCAUGUCUGAAUUCUUUGAACUUGUCAUGCGCUGACAUGCUUGCCACAUGCUCAGCUAGGAGUUAUUUGUGUGUUCAUUCUUUUCUACCAUGAGGUCCAG
Molecule: long non-coding RNA, 760 nt
Organism: Struthio camelus australis
Lineage: Eukaryota; Metazoa; Chordata; Aves; Struthioniformes; Struthionidae
Source: RefSeq, a predicted model, not a curated record